This 359-nucleotide unclassified non-coding RNA is filed under the name Hevea brasiliensis (rubber tree). The record is from RNAcentral. Lineage: Eukaryota; Viridiplantae; Streptophyta; Magnoliopsida; Malpighiales; Euphorbiaceae.
AUCUUAACAGAUCCGUCCAGGUUCGAUUUCUUUAUUUAGUUUAUUAUUCAAUCUCCUAAUGUUAUUAUUGUGUCUAUAUAUAAAAUUUUCAGCAUGUUUAAUUUAAAAAAAUAAGUGACUUCAGCUUGAGUAUUUUCGUUUAGCUUCUUUACUUGUCAUUUAAUCUUAGAGUGCGUUCAUUGUGAUUAUGUCAUUUGGUUUACCAAAAUGAUUAUCGUUGGAAUGAGCUUCCCAUAUGAUUUGAUUAUCACAUAUUCCCUCUUGAUGUAAUAAAAAAAAAUUGGUGACAUUUUACCUCUUUGUAAUCGAUUGUAAACCUUUUGAAAAUUAGAAUAAUUGGUUAUCUAGCUUAAUUACGG